This 301-nucleotide ribosomal RNA is filed under the name uncultured bacterium. RNAcentral's name for it is "partial 16S ribosomal RNA". It matches the Rfam family "Bacterial small subunit ribosomal RNA", at positions 509 to 809 of the family's 1533-position model. The record is from RNAcentral.
CAGCCGCCACGGUAAUACGAGGGGUGCAAGCGUUAUUCGGAUUGAUUGGGUGUAAAGGGUGUGCAGACGGCUUAUUAAGUCACUUGUUAAAUUCUUCGGCCUAACUGAAGGUCUGCAAGUGAUACUGAUGAGCUAGAGGGUGGAAGAGAGAAGUAGAAUCCUCGGAGUAGCGGUAAAAUACGUAGAUCUCGAGAGGAACACCAAUGGCGAAGGCAGCUUCUUGGUCCAUUCCUGACGUUCAUACACGAAAGCGUUGGGAGCAAACAGGAUUAGAUACCCGAGUAGUCCCUGUCUCUUAUAA